GUCACAAGACUAGGGGAACUCAGCUUUCUGCAGCGCGCAAGUACUGCUGGGAAAUCAAGUAGCUACUUACGGCUUGUGUGGCCAGCCAGGAAGGAGACUCAAGCUCGGUGGAAAAUCCGUGGUAACUUUCUCAGGUCUCCCCACAGCCCUGUCACCAAAUCUAAAGGCCUAAUCGUUGAGCUAUGUCUAGAGAGCAGGAACCAGAGUCUUCUGAAGCAGAGUGCGAUGCAAGAGGCCACCCAGAGUUAGAAGAUAAGGAACACUGGCAUUACCCAGAUAAUAAUACCCACAAGCAGGAGGAUACAUCCUUAUUGAACCGUGGGGAAUCGUUUCUUCACCAACAAGAUGAUCUUCAAGAGAAGAAGGUUAGCAGUGCUGAAGGUAGAGACUUCUGUGAGAGGGUACCCAUAGAGGAAGAAGAUGACAUCAGCAAUAGCGACAGUGAUAGUGAUGAUAAUGUGACAAUCAUUAUUGGCAGCAUAAAAACAAACCCCUUCAUUUUCAUGGAGGAGCUCACAAAUCCAAAUGCACAAGUAAACAAAGACCUGAAAACAUCUACAUCAGGUAUUGCUGAGAUGAAACUAAAUGUGAAAUGAAGUAAAUCUGUUUCAAAAGGCACUUAAUGUCACCUGCAGAGGAAAUGAAAAAACCAACAAGUGAAGUGGUAAUCAUUAUUCCAAAUAGAAGCAUCUAUAAUGUCAAGCUAUUGUGUUAAAUUCUGGGCAGAAAAUAAAAAAAAUACCUUGAAAGAAG
RNAcentral lists this long non-coding RNA (753 nucleotides) under Fukomys damarensis (Damara mole-rat). Its description in RNAcentral is "lncRNA (ENSFDAG00000022972.1)". The record is from RNAcentral. Lineage: Eukaryota; Metazoa; Chordata; Mammalia; Rodentia; Bathyergidae.